Molecule: transfer RNA, 72 nt
Filed under: Dechloromonas sp.
Lineage: Bacteria; Pseudomonadati; Pseudomonadota; Betaproteobacteria; Rhodocyclales; Azonexaceae
Description: tRNA-Ala
Rfam family: tRNA
About the family: Transfer RNA (tRNA) molecules are approximately 80 nucleotides in length. Their secondary structure includes four short double-helical elements and three loops (D, anti-codon, and T loops).
Source: RNAcentral
GAGUGCUUCGCUCAGUUGCUAGAGCGUCGCCCUUGCAAGGCUGCGGUCAGCGGUUUUACCCGUUAGCACCCC